GAGUUUGAUCCUGGCUCAGGAUGAACGCUGGCGGCGUGCUUAAUACAUGCAAGUCGAACGAAGCACCUUGGACAGAAUCCUUCGGGAGGAAGACCAUUGUGACUGAGUGGCGGACGGGUGAGUAACGCGUGGGUAACCUGCCUUGUACAGGGGGAUAACAGUUGGAAACGACUGCUAAUACCGCAUAAGCGCACAGUACCGCAUGGUACGGUGUGAAAAACUCCGGUGGUACAAGAUGGACCCGCGUCUGAUUAGCUGGUUGGUGAGGUAACGGCCCACCAAGGCGACGAUCAGUAGCCGACUUGAGAGAGUGAUCGGCCACAUUGGGACUGAGACACGGCCCAAACUCCUACGGGAGGCAGCAGUAGGGAAUAUUGCACAAUGGGGGAAACCCUGAUGCAGCGACGCCGCGUGAAGGAAGAAGUAUUUCGGUAUGUAAACUUCUAUCAGCAAGGAAGAAAAUGACGGUACUUGACUAAGAAGCCCCGGCUAAAUACGUGCCAGCAGCCGCGGUAAUUC
Molecule: ribosomal RNA, 519 nt
Filed under: uncultured bacterium
Lineage: Bacteria
Description: bacterial SSU rRNA
Rfam family: Bacterial small subunit ribosomal RNA
Source: RNAcentral